This 335-nucleotide long non-coding RNA is filed under the name Mytilus galloprovincialis (Mediterranean mussel). The record is from RNAcentral. Lineage: Eukaryota; Metazoa; Mollusca; Bivalvia; Mytilida; Mytilidae.
AGCUUCGGUCCAAAUGAAUAUCCUAAUCCUUAAGAUGUAACGAGCAAUUUGGUAAAAUAAAUUUGUCGUAAUCUUUUACGGUUGCGAAGGAGUAGUGGCCACAAGAAAAAAACAGUGUUUGGGGAGAUAACUCUUACAAGGUUAAGUAUUUUGUUACGCGGUUGUCAUUUUUUAAAGCGUAUAAACUAUACGAUAUCAUAUUCCAAAUAUCUAAGCGACAUCUUUUGAAACAGCAAAACUACGCAAGAAAAAAAUUUAGGCGGAAGAAGAAAAAUAAUAAUAAUCAGAACAAAACCUAUAGGUCUUUCCACGGAAAAGUGGAAAGACCUAAUAAU